UAACGCGAAGAACCUUACCUGGCCUUGACAUCCGCGGAACUUGGCAGAAAUGCCUUGGUGCCUUCGGGAAUCGCGAGACAGGUGCUGCAUGGCUGUCGUCAGCUCGUGUCGUGAGAUGUUGGGUUAAGUCCCGCAACGAGCGCAACCCUUGUCCUUAGUUGCCAUCAUUAAGUUGGGAACUCUAAGGAGACCGCCGGUGACAAACCGGAGGAAGGUGGGGAUGACGUGUAACC
RNAcentral lists this unclassified non-coding RNA (233 nucleotides) under uncultured Gammaproteobacteria bacterium. RNAcentral describes it as "contains 16S-23S intergenic spacer region". It matches the Rfam family "Bacterial small subunit ribosomal RNA", at positions 957 to 1191 of the family's 1533-position model. The record is from RNAcentral. Lineage: Bacteria; Pseudomonadati; Pseudomonadota; Gammaproteobacteria.